UNGUCUGUGAAAUUCCGGGGCUUAACUCCGGGCGUGCAGGCGAUACGGGCACGACUAGAGCGCUGUAGGGGUAACUGGAAUUCCUGGUGUAGCGGUGAAAUGCGCAGAUAUCAGGAGGAACACCGAUGGCGAAGGCAGGUUACUGGGCAGUUACUGACGCUGAGGAGCGAAAGCAUGGGGAGCGAACAGGAUUAGAUACCCUGGUAGUCCAUGCUGUAAACGGUGGGCGCUAGGUGUGGGCUGUGUGUUUGCAGUCUGUGCCGUAGCUAACGCAUUAAGCGCCCCGCCUGGGGAGUACGGCCGCAAGGCUAAAACUCAAAGGAAUUGACGGGGGCCCGCACAAGCGGCGGAGCAUGUGGAUUAAUUCGAUGCAACGCGAAGAACCUUACCUGGGUUUGACAUGCACCAGAUCGGCGUAGAGAUACGUCCUCCCUUGUGGUUGGUGCACAGGUGGUGCAUGGUUGUCGUCAGCUCGUGUCGUGAGACGUUGGGUUAAGUCCCGCAACGAGCGCAACCCUUGUCUUAUGUUGCCAGCACAUUUUUGGUGGGGACUCAUGAGAAACUGCCGGGGUCAACUCGGAGGAAGGUGGGGAUGACGUCAAAUCAUCAUGCCCUUUAUACCCAGGGCUUCACACAUGCUACAAUGGUCGGUACAACGGGUUGCGACACUGUGAAGUGAAGCUAAUCUCUUAAAGCCGGCCUCAGUUCGGAUUGGGGUCUGCAACUCGACCCCAUGAAGUCGGAGUCGCUAGUAAUCGCAGAUCAGCAACGCUGCGGUGAAUACGUUCCCGGGCCUUGUACACACCGCCCGUCACGUCAUGAAAGUUGGUAACACCCGAAGCCCAUGGCCNA
RNAcentral lists this ribosomal RNA (852 nucleotides) under uncultured bacterium. RNAcentral describes it as "bacterial SSU rRNA". It matches the Rfam family "Bacterial small subunit ribosomal RNA", at positions 588 to 1437 of the family's 1533-position model. The record is from RNAcentral.